GGUUUGAUUUUUUAAAAGGGGAAAUAAAAGCAUUGACGGAUGGAUUUAAAAAGAAUUGAUACGGAUUCAGCUAUACCAAAUCCCAAUAUUUAACGUAUAGUGUAUAACUUACGUAGUCCUUCCACCUGCAUUGUUUGGUCCAGGAGACCCGAUGUCAGUGUGUUUAAUUUGCAUCAUAUAAGGAUCAAAAUGUUGUACAAGG
Molecule: long non-coding RNA, 202 nt
Filed under: Mytilus galloprovincialis (Mediterranean mussel)
Lineage: Eukaryota; Metazoa; Mollusca; Bivalvia; Mytilida; Mytilidae
Source: RNAcentral